Non-coding RNA from Megalopta genalis, 4121 nucleotides. NCBI's taxonomy places the organism in Eukaryota, Metazoa, Arthropoda, Insecta, Hymenoptera, Halictidae. The record is from RefSeq and is a predicted model, not a curated record.
GCUAAGGAAAGAGUUGCUUCAAAUGACCUCAGGAACCUCUCAUUACCAGUUUGCGAGAUAUUUUCGGAGUACCUUGCAUAGUGCAACUGUCUUCUAGAGUGUUCUACUCUCAGAUGAGCACUCGCCUUUGCAGCUAUGCAGGCAGGCUUCGUGUAAAUAAAUAAUUCUUCAUGUAAACUCUGUUUCCAGGGAGUGUUCAACGCACCUUAAGUGCGUCGGGUAGAGGUCCACCAGAACGCAAUAGACGACGCUCAGGCAAACCGAGGUGACCGACUCGUAGGCGCAGGAGAGGAUCAGGUUCUGAAUGGAGGUCUGCACCAAGAAGAGGCAGGCUGUCACGACGGCGGGCACGAACGCUGUUAUCACUGGAAUCCGAUCAAGAAAAAGUGAAGUCAAGAAAAAGCUUCCAGAAUGAGUCCGUGAUUAUUGAUCGGCGUACAGACCCCGAAGAAACGAGAGAACCGCUCGGUCAUCGAGGGAAUCGUUGAAACGACCGUGUACUCACCAAGGAAGAACUUGUAUCCCACGUAGUUGACGAGCAUCGGCAGGAUCAAGCCAGUGGGGAUGCACGAGGCUCCCAGGAUGAACGUAUGGACGAAAACGCUGGUCUGCACUCUCGAUUCGCAGCCAAACGGAUCGUCGGUCGGCACCUGCGAUUCGAUAAUUGCGGAAUUAUGAUCGGCGAUGUCGAUGGAACGAGCUCGAAUAAGGACUAGUGCAGAGAUAUCGCUGACCGAUUCCGUGACGUUUCGAGCGCUCUUCAGGGUGCACACGCUGGCAGUCUGAUUAGGGUAGGCUUCCUGGAAGUCCGCGUACCUGUGGAACAGCUCCGGCAGCCACAGGGUCAGCGUGUAAUAAGCCGACGUGACGAAACAGGCGAUCGAGCACACCACGAUCGUUCGACAAAGGAACGGCGGCUUCAAGAUCAUCACCGUCUUCAUCCAAAUGUCACCGAUCAUCGCGUUAAACGACCGCUCCUCCGUUUCUUCCUUGAGCUCCUUCAUGUGCAUGAUCCGAUGCACCAGAUCGUUUAAGUUGUUGUUGCCGCUGUUGCGCAGCUUCGUCUGCGGAAAUCAGUUUCUCACUCUGUUAUGAGAACUUUGUAAAGAACUUUGAAAAACAUCAUUUUUUAAUUUUCUUAUCAAUCAGUUGCAAUUUAAUCAACUUUUCGUAUACUCGUUUCAUAGAAAAUUAGUCGGUCUAACGUCUUAACAAUAUUCAAGUCCUCUAAAACAAUCUUAAAAGGCUUAUUCCGUUUGAAAAGGCGACUUUCCGAGGCGACUGUAUCUCUCUUUGGUAAACACGAAGGCUCGCCGUCGAUCGAUCGUUCGCAGCCACUCGAUUUUUAGUCGAAUCUCUGUUUGCCGUUGCGCGUACAACUUUACAAGCGACUACCGUUGAAUAAAGAUGAUCAUCGGUUCGUCUCUAUUCUUAUCGGAGAGAUUGCGAACUAUCGGCGGACGGUAUAUUUGCCGAAGAUAUUAUCGGUCAACGAUCAAUGUUUGACGAGCAAACCACUCACUGUGUACUCUUUAGACGGCUGCCCGCUGUUCUCCGAGUACAUCCUCAUCAAUACGUCCAGCAUCUGCACGUUCUGACCGGUCUCCGCCAAAUAUUUCGGCGUCUCCGGGAAAAACAGCAGCCAAGUGCCAGUGAACACCGCCGGCAACGAGCAAAUGAAUACGAAGAAGUUCCACGAGCGGAACACCACCCCGGCAAUCUCGACGUUUAUUUCCAACGGGAUAACGAUCCAUCCGACACCUACGAUCGAACAAAAAGCGGACACGUUAAUUCAACCGGACGCCAGUUGAAUCACCUCCGUUGUUUUCCCGAACGUUGCACGCUCGUGCGCCGAAUUUACCGGGAGUACAAUUCUUUAGAAUGGGCCAUUCUGUCUGACCAAAUGGUGGACGAUAAGAACGUCGACGAAAGUUGUAAAAAAGUCGAUAAAUCAUUCGGAAGUGGUGAAGCAGCGUGGAAAUGCACUUAUUGUGAAAAGGACGAGGACAACGAGAGAACCGGAGAUCGGAAAUGAUCGAAUGCCGCGGGUCGCGCCCGAAGUGGAUACUUUAACCGCGGUCAGCCACGGUCGAUAAGAGUUCAACCGGUGCAGAAACGGUUCUUGGAACCCGCCUGGACCAUAAAUAGUCGCUCGAACGAGGUGUUUACCUGCCAGAAUGAUCAUCCCCAUCACCCACGCCAUCUCCAUCCACGAGAGCAUCUUGUCCCGGUACUUGGUCGGCUGAAAUUCGCCAAGGUAGAGAAACACCACAGCCGACUGUCCGUUCAUCCUGCAAACAUUCGUCCUAUUAUUCGUCGUCCGCCGCGAGAGGACGAGUGUUCUCGAGCGUUACGAAUGCUGCUGUACUAACGCUGCGCCGCUCAAAAAUUUUAGAAACAGGAAGAUCCAAUAGUGCGGUACCACCGACGCCAACAGCUCCGAAACCCCGUGCAGCAGCAGAGCCACCAGCAAGGACAUCCUCCGACCUUUUAUGGCCGCGUAACAGCCCCAGAUGUAAGAUCCGCACAGCAUACCUGCGAAUUCACCCGGACGUUUCAGCAAUUGUUCGGUUUCUAAUCGGACGUAAUUAUACCAAUUAGACGCCGCGCAUCGAGUCGCCUCGGGUGAUUAUGAUUUCAUCGACAUCCUGCAACGUGGUUAUCGCAAUGAGAUUUAAAUUUCCCGAGGCGGAAGGUACGGAGUACAAAGCCAAUAAUCACCUGUCUGGUCGACUGCAUCUUCCACGACAUUUUCCGCCGUCUGCUUGGUACCUGUGAACACAUAAGAAGAUCAUCGAUCGUUAAAGAAUCGUGCGCAUUGAAGAGAAAGAAAGAGAGUGAGAGAGAAAGAGAGAGAGAGAGUGUGAGAGAGAGGGAGAGAGAGAGAGAGAGAGAGAGAGAGAGAGAGAGAGAAACACGAUGUACAGGCAGUCGUGAAAGUUCCACGGUCCCGCCUAGCUUAUAUUCCGGGAAUAAAAACGUCCCACGCGGCGCCAGUAAAUGACUAAACACGUCGGGGCCGGGGGACUCGUCGACUUCUCGUGGCGAGACUUGCUGCCGACAAAGCGGCGUCGACGUGUCCGCGGCUUCUCAUUCCAAUAAAUCGCUUUGCUUGCCGCCCAGUCCCCUGGGGAACACCUCCGCGAUCGCGUCUCUUUGUUUCGAGCACGCCGGCAAACACCGCUUUUCUCUCCUAGCGAAAUUGCUUCUCCCGCGUGGAACGGUUUUGUCAACGACUUAAUUUAUUUGUUAACCCCUUGCCCUACGAUUUCCCUCGCGACUACGUCGAUCGGGCGCUUCUUCGUCGCCGAUGAACUCCUACGAGAGAAAGAGAAUAUCUUUUGUACGUCCACGGGAACGCCGAUGGCCGAAUAUCAAGGAUAUCGUAGCGCAAGGGGUCGAGCUCUCCGUAAGAAAUAUGUUCCUCGAUCAGAUUGUAUCCGACACGAACGCUGUAACCGGAGGGUACACCGUUCGGACGAGCGUGUAACGACGUUUAAUCGACGCGGCCGACGGCUUUUUCGUCGCGAAAAUAAUAACGCGCGUCCCGAGCCUGUGUAUCGUCGUUCCGACGGGUUCCGCAGGGUCGUUCUAACAGCGCGGCGUUAGAAAGAACGUUCUCCGGCACGCAGAAAUCGAUUCUCAAGGCUCGCUCGCCGGCCGCCGUGCAAUCGAUGUCUUCGUUCGAACAGGUGUGCCCGACAGGGAAACACCUUCGGUAACAGCGCGUUCACGGAAGCGAAGUCGUUUCGUGGAAACAAUAAAACUCGUUUUCCAUGCGUGUUAGGCCUUUGUCUCGGAAGGCGGCGAGAAUGUUUACGCCGAGAAGCGGCCGAUCAAUUAUGCAUCGUGCGAAUGCGGCAACAUAAAGAGCGCGGCGGAACGGAACACUUUUUGUCGGAUGUAAAGAGAACAUCCUGGGAAAACUCUGUCGACGUCUCCGAACGGAUAUCGUAGGUGUUCGAGGGUCCGGGGGUUCGCUGAAAUUUUGAAUCGGGAUCACGGUGUCCGUGCCGUAAAGCCACGGCCCGCUUCGAAAGGGAUACAGACGACCGUUGAGCGAGACCGCCUAUGGAAAAAUACUGCGGCCCGAUCGCCUCUGCAUCGCCUCUGCAUCGCCU